Small nucleolar RNA from Chelonoidis abingdonii (Abingdon island giant tortoise), 102 nucleotides. RefSeq annotates it as small nucleolar RNA SNORA70. The record is from RefSeq and is a predicted model, not a curated record. Lineage: Eukaryota; Metazoa; Chordata; Testudines; Testudinidae.
GCGCAGCCAGUUAAGCUGACUGGCCUGCCUGCCAUGGGGGCCUGGUGUGCAAUGGCUGCGCACAGCACCCCCCUGGUUGUGUGGGGGAGCUGGGUUGUGGGC